GAUCUUGCUACACAGCCUGUUGUGACUUGUCCUGUAAUUUAGUUACGAGGAUUCAAAGUCAUGCUCCAGAGGCAGUUGAAAAGAAAGCAUCCAAAGUUCAUUCUGAACAUUAUACUUUUCUGAGCUUAUCUGUUGCCUCUCACUGGUUGUUAUAGAAAGUAGUUUGACCAUUACAAAGGUUAUGUAUGGAAAAGCCUAGUUCACCACGGCUGAGAUGGGCCCAGUUCUAUAAUGAGGAAGGUCUUAAACAUAGUGGUCUUUUACAUUGAAUGGUGCCUACAAACCACAUUUUCCUGAACUUCAUUGUAUUUGGGUUCACAGCAGAUCUUUUCAUUGGGCCUAUAGUUGUAAUGUGAAUCAGCCUAGCCUUACUACAGAUUUAUUAUGUUUUCAACUUGGUACAGGUAACCAAGACAUCAAUCAUGGUCAAUGACCUGUUUUUAAAGGGAAACAAUCAUAAAUAGAUACACUAUAUAUACAAAAGUAUGUGGACACCCCUUCAAAUUGCUGGAUUCAGCUAUUUCAGCCUCGCCCGUUGCUGACAGGUGUAUAAAAUUCAGUACACAGCCAUGCAAACUCCACAGACAGACAUUGGCAGUAGAAUGGCCUUACUGAAGAGCUCCGUGACAUUCAACAUGGCACCGUUAUAGGAUGCCACCUUUCCAAAAAGUCAAUUGGUCAAAUGUCUGCCCUGUUAGAGCUACCCUGGUCAACUGUAAGUGCUAUUAUUGUGAAGUAGAAACGUCUCAGCCGCAAAGUGGUAGGCCCAAAAAUAGUUUUUGUCUGUCCUCAUUUGCAACACUCACUACUAAACUGCCUCUGGAAGUAACGUCAGUGCAAUAACUGUUCGUUGGGAGCUUCAUGAAAUGGGUUUCCAUGGCUGAGCAGCGGCACACAAGCAUAAGAUCACCAUGCGCAAUGCCAAGCGUCACCUGGAUUGGUUCUAAAAGCUUGCUGUCAUUGGACGCGUUCUCUGGAGUGAUGAAUCACGCUUCACCAUAUGCCAGUCCGACGGACGACUUUGGGUUUGAGACCCGGGAGAGGCAAAGGUCGGGAGUCCUUGACCUGCCAAGCCGCGCUGCUUCUUAACACUGCUCACUUAACCCGGAAGCCAGCUGUACCAAUGUGUCGGAGGAAACACCAUCCAACUGACGACCAAAGUUAGCUUGCAGGCGCCCGGCCUGUCACAUGGAGUUGCUGGAGCACGAUGAGCCAAGGAAUCCCCCCUGCCAAACCCUCCCCUAAACCAGACGACGCUGGGCCAAUUGUUAGCCAUCUCUUGGGGGUCACGGCCGGCUGUGACACAGCCUGGGAUUGAACCUGAGGCUGUAGUGGUGCCUUAGACCACUACGCCACUCAGGAGGCCCCAGUGUGGAAGAACUUGACUGGCCUGCACGGAGCCCUGACCUCAACCCCAUCGGACACCUUUGGUAUGAAUUGAAAUGCCAAUUGUGAGCCAGGCCUAAUCGCCCAACAUCAGUGCCCGACCUCACUAAUGUUCUUGUGGCUGAAUGGAAGCAAGUCCCUGCAGCGAUGUUCCAACUUCUAGUUGAAAGGUUUCCCAGAAGAGUGGAGGCUGUUAUAGUAGCAAAGGCAGUACCAACUCUAUAUUAACGCCCAUGAUUUUGGAAUGAGCUGUUCAACGAGCAGGUGUCCACAUACUUUUGGUCCUGUAGUAUACAUUGGCUAAACAGCUGCCAUUAUAUGCCGUGCCUUGCAAAAGUAUUCAGACUCCUUGGAUUUCUUCAUUUUGUGUUACAAAAUCUUGCCAUAGAUUGUUAAGCAGAUUUAAGUCAAAACGGUAACAUGGCCACUCGGGAACACUCACUGUCUUCUUUAUAAGCAGAGCCGGUGUAGAUUUGGCCUUGUGUUGUAGGUUAUUGUCCUGCUGAGAGAUGAAAUCUUCACCCAGUCCCUGGUGUAAAGCAGGUCUUCAUCAAGGAUUUAGCCUGUGCUUAGCUUCAUCCCAUUUACUUUUUAUUCUGAAACUCUCCAGUAUUUGCCAAUGUCAGGCAUCCAAAUCAAAUUAUAUUUGUCACAUGCUACUUAAAAACAACCAGUGUAGACUAACAGUGAAAUGCUUUCUUACGGGCCCUUCCCAGCAAUGCAGUGAGAAAUAACAGAAAAGUUAAACACCCAAUAAUGAAUACACAAUGAGUCUUGACUAUAGACACAGGGCACCAGUACCGAGUCGAUGUGCAGGGGUACAAGGUAAUUGAGGUAGAUAAUGUGCAUAUAACUAGGAAUAAAGUGACAGAUCAUAAACAGUAGCAACAGCUUAUGUGAUGAGUGCAAAAACCGUAAAUGCAGAUACACUGAACAAAAAUAUAAAUGCAGCAUGUAAAGUGUUAGCCCCAUGUUUCAUGAGCUGAAAUCAGAGAUCCCAGAAAUAUUCCAAAUGCACACAGCUUAUUUCUCUCAAAUUUUGUGCACAAAUGUUUACAACCCUGUUAGUGAGCGUUUGCCAAGAUAAUCCAUUCACCUGACAGGUGUGGCAUAUUAAGAAGCUGAUUGUUACACAGGUGUACCUUGUGCUGGGGACAGAAGGCCACUCUAAAAUGUGCAGUUUUGUCACAGAUGUCUUCAAGUGUUGAGGGAGUGUGCAAUUGAUAUGCUGACUGCAGGAAUGUCCACCAGAGCUGUUGCCAGAGAAUUAAAUGUUAAUUUCUCUACCAUAAGCCACCUCCAAUGUCGUUUUAGAGAAUUUGACAGUACGUCCAACCGGCCUCACAAUCGCAAACCACAUGUAUGGUGUUGUGUGGGCAGGCAGUUGGCUGAUGUCAACGUUGUGAAUAGUGCCCCAUUGUGGCGAUGAGAUUAUGGUAUGGGCAGGCAUAAGCUACGGACAAUGAACACGAUUGCAUUUUAUCGAUGGCAAUUUGAAUGCACAGAGAUACCAUGACGAGAUCCUGAGUCCCAUUGUCAUGCCAUUCAUCCGCCACCAUCACCUCAUGUUUCGGUAUGAUAAUGCACAGCCCCAUGUCACAAGGAUCUGUGCACAAUUCCUGGAAGCUGAAAAUGUCCCAGUUCUUUCAUGGCCUGCAUACACACCAGACUUACUGUACCCUCUAGCGCCUUGGGGUUGGAUGUCAAGCGGUUUCCAUACCAAGUUGUGAUGCAGCCAGGCAAGAUGCUCUCAAUGGUGCAGCUGUAUAACAUUUUGAGGAUCUGAGGGCCCAUGCUUAAGCUUUUCCACCUCCCAAGAGGCAUUGUCAUGCCUUCUUCAUACCCAUACCAUGAUGCAGCCACCACUAUGCUUGAAAAUAAGGUGGGAGUUACAGUGAUGCGUUGGAUUUUCCCCAAACAUAAGACUGCAUUUAGGCCAAAAGGUGUAUUCCUUUUUGCAGUAUUACUUUAGUGCCUUGUUGCAUACAAGAUGCAUGUUUUGGAAUAUUAUUAUUUUUAUUUUGUAUAUUUAUUUUCACUCUCAUUUAGUUCAUUAUUGUGGAGUCACUACAAUGUUGUUGAUCCGUCCUCGGCUCUCUCCCGUCACAGCCAUUUAACUCUGUAGUUGUUAUGAGGACAUUGGUGAUUUUAAACAUCACUGAGCAGUUUCAUUCCUGUCCUGCUGCUCAGUUCAGAAGGAUGACUAUCUUUCAUGUGUCUGGGUGGUUUCAUACAUAAUCCACAGCAUAAUUAUUAACUGACCAUGCUUAAAGAAAUAUUCUGAUUUUGUUACCCAUGUACCAAUCACUGCCCUUUUGAGGCAUUCGAAGAGCUCCCUUGUCUUUGUAGUUGAUUUGAAAUCCAGUACUUGACUGAGGGAUCUUUACAAAUGUUAAAUGUCAUCAAGGACACUAACCACCUGGGCCCACUACCUGUUCACCCCGCUUCCAUCCAGAAGGCGAGGUCCGUAGAGGUGCAUCAAAGCUGGGACAGAGAGAUUGAAAAUCAGCUUCUAUCUCAAGGCCAUCAGAUUGUUAAACAGCCAUCAUUAGCACAGAGAGGCGGCUGCCUACCUGCAGACUUGAUAUCAUUGUCCAAUUUAAUAAAUGGAACACGAGUCACUUUAAUAAUGCCACUUUAAGAAUGUUUACAUAUCUCGCAUUACUUAUCUCAUGUAUAUACUGUAUUAUUCACUAUCUAUUGCAUCUUAACCGCUCUGUCACUGCUCAUCCAUAUAUUUUAUACUUAUAUAUUCUUAUCAAAUUCCUUUACUAGAUUGUGUGUAUUAGGUGUUGUUGUGGAAUCUGUUAGAUAUUACCUGUUAGAUACUGCUGCACUGUCGGAUCUAGACGCAUAAGCAUUUCGCUACACUGCUAACCAUGUGUAUGUGACCAAUAAAAUAUGAUUUGUUAGGGGGACCGAGGAAGGGUCAUUCAAAAAUCAUGUCAACCCCUAUUAUUUCACAGUGAGUCCAUGUAACUUAUAAUAUGAUUUGUUAAGCCAAAUUUGACUCUUGAAUUUAGGCUUGCUUAAACAAAUGGGCUCACUACUUAUGCAACGACUAUUUUACUUAUAUAAUUAAAAAAUAAAAAUAACAUUUAUUCUACUUUGACCGUUUUGUGUCGAUUGGUGAUACAAAUGACAAUGAAAUCCAUUUUAAUCCCACUUUGUAAGACAAUAAAUGUUGAACAAACCCAA
Molecule: long non-coding RNA, 4584 nt
Organism: Oncorhynchus nerka (sockeye salmon)
Lineage: Eukaryota; Metazoa; Chordata; Actinopteri; Salmoniformes; Salmonidae
Exons: 2
Source: RefSeq, a predicted model, not a curated record